CUGUGCUGGUAUUUCUCAUUUCCUUGGCGUUUCACUACAAAAUCCUUAUAUAAAUGAAGUGAAAUGGUUUUUUUUUUAUUUUAUUUUUUUUUUGUGAUGGAUUCGGCGCGCCAUAGUUCUUUGUCUUCUGUCGUUGUUUUCAGACACCUAGUAGAGGAAUUUUGUACUGCUUUAUUAAAUCAUGCUGUGAUCUUUUGUCGUCUGCGUUCCUCGUGGCUAGCUUUCACCUCACGUUUCACUGUUUUGUCGGCGGUGUAUUGCUCUGUUAAUGGUCGAAAUAUAGAAAAGUGAGAUUGCUUUGAUUUUCUUAUGACUGUUAGUGAAAUAUUUUUUAUUUAGAAUAUUUAAAAUAGAGAAGAAACAAAAAAGCUGUCAUAGUACAGAGUGCAUCAACAAUUUUUGAGUUUGUAUGUCAUUUACUCAUUUCUCAAACUGAAAGACAUCAACAGGCAAUGAGACAGCAGUGAAGCUGCUACAUAAAUAAAGCUGGUACCCUUUCAACAACGGACCCAAUGACUAACUGAGCUUUGAGACCAAGUCUUUUAUGAAAUAAAAAACUACUUCAGCGCAAUUACCAGUUGUCAAGCUGAGUUAAAAUCAGAAAGGACAACUUGAAAUAUUCCAUAUCAUCAAGGCGUUGAUACCAGUAGUUGAGAUGGAGAAUCACUGCUUUUGCAAUUACAGUAGAGAAAUAAUAGAAAUAAAAGGUGGACGAUGCUAAAUUUCGUCGAUUGACCGCCCAUAUUCAAAUCGUGCAUCAAUCUGACAUUCUGAUGCCCUUGAGUGAAGCGGCGACAGGGAUCAGCAUCAGCGGCCCUAUCUUAAAAGUUAUCUCCAAAUCAACAGCAGCUGCCGAGUGGUCCUUGGAUCGCGAAAUUACUUGCCAGUUUAGUGUCGCCUAUACGCCAAUUAUUUCUUUGGUCGACUGCGUUGCAUCGGAGUCUCAACAUCACCGCGAUUAGUUGCCAGAAGGAACACAGAUAUCCUACAGGGAGAUUGAGUCUUUAGUAGAUUGGUCUUAGUUCGCCCCCAGUUAAUCUAGCUGAACAAAUUGAGUCGCAGCAGGAAACUUCUUGUGAUUUUUCCAUGGAAAUAGAUAUGGAAUUCGAUUACAUGUUGCAGAGUUUAGAUCGUGGACCGAAUCAUUCAUUUGGCUGAAGAAGAUGUCGGUUCUCUCGGAUGACUCGGCGUAAUAUCUCACACACCUUGUCCAGGAGCAACUCACUCCCACCAUUUGGGGGUCCAAAAUUCCGCUGAAUUCAUGUAGAAGGAUCGGUAAUCCAAGGCCGGAAAGAUACGUAAUCGAAAGGACCAAAAUGUCAUUCUGUCUUCUCUAAAUUCAGAUACGAACGUUGUUCACCCUUUCAUUCGUGGCGCCAUUUGUGAAUACCAAUUAUGUAUAGGAAGAGAUGGAUACUUUGCACGAAAAUUCAUGGCGGAAAAUCCGACCAGUAGUAUGCCGGAUGAGUCAAAUAAGAGAUCUUCACUUGACUUACGGUUCAGGGUUCAUCAUUUGGGCUCGUCAAGUUGCGAGGCAGCAACGUGCCUACAACAUACCUAAAUGAAGGGAAUUGAACAUGUCGAAAUUAGGGCUAGGAGAACCCUGUCAAAAUUGUCGAAGAUAAAAAACAGGAGGUUAGCUGAUGCUGGACGUUACCCAAACAAGGAUGGUCUAGCAGUCACGUCCUGUCCUCUUUUCCAUGACUCUCUAAGAAGAACAUCCCAGUGAAUCGACAUGGUUCAGUUACAUGUCAACCGGAUCUUUCACAGGACUUUUUGAGCCGCAACGUUGGUGGACGAUAACCCUGGGACAGGUCAAGCUGAAUUAGCCACAUAGGGCAAACCUCCAAGAGAAAACAUCAAACAAAGAGAAAACAAAUCAUAUUGUUGGAAAAUGUCUAGUGACCGUAUUCUAGGUAAUUGUAUUUGUGUAAAUUUUCAAGCUAAUAAAAAACUGUCUUUAUA
RNAcentral lists this long non-coding RNA (1965 nucleotides) under Daphnia pulex (common water flea). RNAcentral's name for it is "uncharacterized LOC124209611, transcript variant X2". Lineage: Eukaryota; Metazoa; Arthropoda; Branchiopoda; Diplostraca; Daphniidae. The record is from RNAcentral.